GGGAGAUUUCCCGAGUGGUCAAAGGGGGCAGACUGUAAAUCUGUUGUCAUCGACUUCGGAGGUUCGAAUCCUCCAUCUCCCA
This 82-nucleotide transfer RNA is filed under the name Planctomycetaceae bacterium. RNAcentral's name for it is "tRNA-Tyr". It matches the Rfam family "tRNA". From Rfam's summary of the family: Transfer RNA (tRNA) molecules are approximately 80 nucleotides in length. Their secondary structure includes four short double-helical elements and three loops (D, anti-codon, and T loops). Further hydrogen bonds mediate the characteristic L-shaped molecular structure. tRNAs have two regions of fundamental functional importance: the anti-codon, which is responsible for specific mRNA codon recognition, and the 3' end, to which the tRNAs corresponding amino acid is attached (by aminoacyl-tRNA synthetases). tRNAs cope with the degeneracy of the genetic code in two manners: having more than one tRNA (with a specific anti-codon) for a particular amino acid; and 'wobble' base-pairing, i.e. permitting non-standard base-pairing at the 3rd anti-codon position. Lineage: Bacteria; Pseudomonadati; Planctomycetota; Planctomycetia; Planctomycetales; Planctomycetaceae. The record is from RNAcentral.